UCCGCAAUUUCCGGAACGGGCGGCCAUUGAUAUAGCUGCCUAUUCUUGUCCGUUUUGCGGACAAGAAUAAGACAUGUUAUAUUUUUUUUUGCGGGGCCGCGGAACGGAGCAACGGAUACGGACAGCACACGGAGUGCUGUCCGCAUCUUUUGCUGCCCCA
Long non-coding RNA from Bufo bufo (common toad), 160 nucleotides. RefSeq lists it as uncharacterized. The transcript has 3 exons. The record is from RefSeq and is a predicted model, not a curated record. NCBI's taxonomy places the organism in Eukaryota, Metazoa, Chordata, Amphibia, Anura, Bufonidae.